CUCUCUGGUUACAUGGUCAGUUGCCGGCUGGUGGCUGAAGGGGAGGAAAUACACCCUGUAGCUGGCUGGCUUCAAAGUGUUCGGCGCUUUGAGGAAAUCUCGGAAAGAAAGUUAAAUUUUCGUUACGUGGUGUAUUUCAUCAUAGUUGUCAAGCAAAAGCAUAUAGGAAAUUCUUGGUGUAUUGGGAACUGUUACGUAGCUGAUAUCAAAAGUAACAUGCUAUCCGGUAAUGGUGUAGUUUUAUCUACAGAAAAAAAAAGUAAGGCCGGAAGAAAAUACAUAUCAUAACCCAAGAUGUCAACUUAGUGCUAGAAUUGUGAGGAAACAUUUCAAACUUCAAAACAUAUUUAUUGCCCAGAUGAGCAGCAAUGUCGAUUUCCUGAGGAGCAAGUGACUCGAUUUUUAGUAACCUAAAUCAAUCAAGUGAACCUUCAUAAACGAUAUUAUAUGGGAUGGAGUGUUCUCCAAAGGGGAUUCUGAGAGGAGAUAAUCAUCCACCAUCACGGAGGAAGUGGAAUGCUUUCUGUCCGAGAAGAAUUAUUUCCUUAAGGAUAGAAAUUUAUGGAGCAAGUAGUCAACCUCGAACGCUUGAAAGUUUAUGUGCCGCAGAUUUAUGAGAUUUAAAUAGAAAAAAAAUUUAACUGUUCAGUAUAAUAUAAUGUCAUUGAUUAUAAUGGAUAGUAGAGAUUAUUUUAAUUGUUAAAUUUAAUAGGCAGACAUUGGUUAAUAUUGUUUUUUAUACUCUUAAGAAUCAAAGCGUUCCACAAAG
Macrobrachium nipponense is the source of this 769-nucleotide long non-coding RNA. RefSeq lists it as uncharacterized. The record is from RefSeq and is a predicted model, not a curated record. NCBI's taxonomy places the organism in Eukaryota, Metazoa, Arthropoda, Malacostraca, Decapoda, Palaemonidae. The transcript is spliced from 3 exons.